Molecule: long non-coding RNA, 6201 nt
Organism: Felis catus (domestic cat)
Lineage: Eukaryota; Metazoa; Chordata; Mammalia; Carnivora; Felidae
Exons: 6
Source: RefSeq, a predicted model, not a curated record
CGGAGAGGGUGUGAGCAAGCGGGAAUUUCAGGCUGGAUGCACAACCCCAGCUGCAGCGACCGCUCUGACUCAGCGGGAGGUGGCGGUGGGGUCUGAAGGUGCACGUGGUGCCUGGUGCCGGCAGCCAGCCGGCAGUUCCAUGCUGAGGCCUGGUCUGUAGCUUCCACUACCAGGCCAGAGUUGGGGGCGAACUACUGACCGGUCUGAAGCUCUUCUUUCACAGACUCUAAACGCAAAGUGGACAUAAGGUCGACGGAAAAUAAACAGCUUGAUAGAAAAGGAAAAAAAAUCUAGAAUCUUCGCUCUAAAGAAGAGAAAAUAGACGGUAAUUCUCUGGAUAUAGGCUCUGUAGGGUAUGCUGUCAAAUUUUAAAUUCUUAUCUUCAUAAUCAUGAUUGUGAACAGCCUAAAGAAAGCGUGCAAUACAUGUCUGAUAAAGUGAAGAGGUUUGUGUUUUGUUGGAGCAUGUGAUUCUGCAUACUUGUACUGAAGAUGGCAGUGAAUUUGUGGAAGCAUAUUGCAGAUAACAUGAGAUUAACUAUUUAUUUCAACACACAGUGUCAGAAUCCAACCUGUAACACAUACAGUACGAGUUAAAUUCCAGAGGGAGAUCAAUGAUGAAAGGAUCUGAAUGUUAUUCUGGUCAUGAUCAGCCAGCUAUAAUUGUGUAUGAGGGCUACACAUGAGAGAAAAGUAGAGCAAGAAGACAGAGGGACUCUGCAUCUGUGGAAAAUUUUUGGAGAAGCAGCCUAAUUCUUUCUGGACCAUUCACCAACCCUGAACUGUUAUGGCUAGUGUACUAAGAAGAGUCUCAUAUGGUAGACUAUUUACUAAAGAGGCUGCCACCAAGGUUAGAAUCAUAAAAUAAUUUCAAAUUCCAUUUGCUAAUAAUGGAGAGAAGUAAUGAUAUUCUGCUGAACUGUGUUUCCAUGGAAUUUUCACAGUGGAGAGUCCUGUGUUGGUGUCAGUACAGUCAUCACCAGGAGCUAGGAAGAGGUCAUCUCUGACAGGUUCAAAGCCAUUUCCAGGCGUGGGUGCUGGUUUGGGGACUUCCAAGCCCUUGGAUGACAAAGAGGCUACACCUGGAGGUGCUGGCUUUGGUAUCCAGUUUUAUAGAAGCUUUUUCCAGAAUCCUAUGCCCUUGAAUGCAGUGAAGUGUCUAGCUAGUUUUUCGUUUACAUCUGGAACAUGAUUAUUGCUACAAAUAUGGCUAAAGAAGCAACAUUCAACACUGCAGCAAGUAUCAUGUGGCCCAAGAUGCAGAUGUUAUAAGUCAAUGCAAAGGGGAAAGACACUUGGAUGACCAGAUCGCGUUUGUGUAAAUAAGGCAGAGCCUUCAGUGACUUGUGACCACAUGGAGAUGCCUUGACGAUAGCUGUGGUCUAUAUAACAGUACUUCAACGGUGAAAAAAAUUUCAUGCUGGAAAGCAGAAGAUACUUUUCUCGUACUUUCUCUGUCAUUAUGUUGAGAUAGAACUUUAAAAUUACUUAACAUCUUCAGGCAUUGCUGCCCUCAUCUGUGUGUCAAAUGUGUCACACUACAUUAUAACUAAUGCCUAUUUUUUCUCUAAAACUAUAUUUCUGGUACAGUGAGUUUAGAUAAGGAUUUAGUGUCUGCUUUUGUGUCUACAUUGAAAAACAAAAAAAAAACAAAAAGCAAGUAGUUAAUUCAGUACAAACAGCCAAAUCUUGUAUACACAGCCGGAAUGGGAUGUGCAUUCCAGGAACAGGUUUUGAUAGGCUGGGUACGGCUAUCCCAUAUAAUAAGAUAGUUCAAGGCUUCAAAUUUAAGCAUCUCUGGUGGGAAGAUCCAAGUAUCACAAAUCACAUACAUCUUGACCUUAUGAGAGGAGGAGGUGGAGGUUGGAAAACAAACUAAAGUGGCUCUACAGGUCAGGAGGCAUUACUAAGUCAUUUUCUGCAAUGGCCAUCAGAAAUUGCUAGGCAAAGUUCCUGUUGUACUUGAACAGAGCUCCUAGCAUAAUGUCUGGAGAUUUAAAAUGGAAAUAUACCAGUCAUUAUGAAUGAAUAACAGCUAUGCUAAAAUCACUCACAGCACAUUUUUCUUGAGCUGUCAGUAGGAACAAUCAUCAACAUUAUUUUAUUUGUCUUCAGAAUCUCUGCCUUACUAAAUUCUUAUUAUUAACUAGUAAAGUACUAACGAUUUGAGUUAAAUGCCGUAGGCAACUCAAAGUCAUUUGUAUCUAUUGUAUAUCUCAAUGACAGGGAUGUCAACAACCUUGAUUUCUUCCCUUAACCUAUGGAGCAACAAGAACAAUCUAUUUGAUUCACUUAAAGGCACUUGCAGAUUUGUCCGUUCUUCAGCAAACUACAAGCAGCAUGUAAGGUCUCCUCAUUUAUUCACAGCUUUCUUUCGCAUUGCAUGAACGAUCUCAUUUAAAACCACAGAGAAUCUAUUGCUAGAAUAGAUACUAGAAUAGGUGAUUAUUCUUAAAAUACAGAUUUUGGUCAUCAGCAGAUUUAAAGUAAAUGGUGUGCAUGGGCAGGAGAUUGAUGACAAGAUUUAGGUCAUGAGUUUCUACAUGUGAGUUUUAAUAUUUAGUGCAGAAUUUCCUCUCUCCAGGUAAAAGUCUGUUGCUUUUGUAAUCUUCGUUUGUUUAUUUAUUUUAGUUCUCCUCCACAGAGUGCAAUGACAUACCAUCUUCUGUCUGGUUUCUCAAAAUGAAAGUAGAUUUAUUUAGUCUUUUUCAUUAGAAUACUUCAUGUUAUUUAUAGUUAAUAUUAUCUUUAAGGUACAAAAGGAUUUCUAUCUUAUUUUUGUUUUCUGGAUUCAAUUUUAGUGGGCUUUUCUUGAAAUUCAGUCAGUAAAUGCCUUGGGAAUCCGAAGACAGUUGGGAGAAAAUCAAAGAAAUAGAUAUAUUUUCUUUUCUCAAGCAAACUUUGCAAACUUAUGGAGAUCUAUUUAUCUAAUAGGGAUGUAGAAUGAUAGACAUACAUGCACACAUACCUAUAAAUUCUCUGUAAUAUAUAUUAUAACAACAUCACAAAUAUACUGGCCAAAAGAGACAUCAUGUUCCUCAAGAUUUAUAUUUCAGAGUCCUGACUUCACCAUUCACGAGCUGUAUGAGCAUGAGAGAGUCGCUAUAUUCCUCAGUUUCCCCCUCUGUAAAUGGGGACUCUGUUGCUACUUACGGGAUGAUAGAAUUGAAUAAAACAGGAGUGAAACAGCUAAUGUAGUGUUUGAAUAUAGUAACUCUUCUCUCAGUUACAAUUAGUAUACAUAAUCUAUAUGUGAGAUGAGAGCAACAUGAGUUCAAAGUUAACACCAAUUACUUUAGAUUGGCCCUGGGAGAAAUCAGGGAGGAAGCACAUUCAGAUUUUGAUUCUCAGGCACUAGAAUAGGGCACAUCCUUUUUUUGCCAAGUGACAAGAAUGAAGAAGGAAAAAUAAGCAAAAGUUGAAUGAGGCAUGGUGUAAAUUACUCCACCCACAUCCUAAAUACCCACCUAAGGCAUAUGCGACAGGCCCUGAGGUGACCACUCAAAAGAGCCCUCGGGGUUACCAGAACACACCAAACUUUAAUCACAUUUCCAAGAUCUCUUGGCUCAUCCAGGGGCUGUAGGGCUCAAAUGCUAAUGGCUUCACAAUCCUCUUCUCUGACGGUUUGUUUCAAAUAUACAUGUCUGCUAACACCUACCCUUCCCAGUAGCCUCUCUGGUAGAAUGCCUCAUGAGUCCUUUUCCUUCCUCCCAUCUUGAGCCAGCUUGCUUUGCACGUGUUCAUUGUGUGCUUCUGUAGCAACCUGAUCUUUCCUAUGACAGCACUUAUUACCAUGCACUGUGUUUUUCAACUUACAUUUUGUUUCUCCAAUAAACUGUAAUCUCCUUGUAGCCAAGGAUAAUAUUUUGUCAUCAUAGUGCAUACCUAACACAUGGUUAGUUCUUAAUAUUUGUGUAAAGAAAUGGCGUCUCCACUUUCUCAUCAUUUAAGUUGGUAUUACAUUCCUCUGUGAAUGCUAACAUCCCUUAGUUUUAACAUCCUAAUAAGAUACUAGUCACAGUCAUAAUAGUAUCUUGAAUUAAUGUAGACAUUCUUUUGGUUUUACUUUUCAAAAAUGCAAUCACAGCUAAAAUCUGUGCUCCUGCAACAUGGCUUAUUAUAAUGAAAAGUGGAAAAAAAAUCUCUAGAAGAUUUAAGAAGACUGGGGACACAUUAGAAACUUUUAAAUUACUUUCUGUCUCAGAUUCUAAGAACAUGUAUUUUAUUACUUUAACACUGCUGAUAUUUGAAGCUAAUUCCGCAGAUAUGGAUGAUAUACAUGACAUCGUUUUCUGUAUUAUCUACUGAAAACACAAAAUGUCCCUUGGUUUUCAGAAGCAGAAUAAGGGAAAUUACACUAAUUAUCCUAAAGGGUAAGUACUUGCUUCUCAUUUAUUGGGUUUGCUUCAUGUUACAUAUGUUAUAUUUGGAAUAAAGGCAAGAAUCUUAACUUGGAGGCAUGUCUGUGAUUGAUACAAAAAUAGAAGUUCACAUUACCCUUCAGAAAGUAUUUAAAUCUUGUGUAUACAGAAAAUUCUUCCCAGAUCAAACAGAAAAUAUAUACAUUUUUUUAAAAGUUUAUUUAUUUAUUUUGCGAGGGAAUGUCAGAGAGAAGAGAGAGAAUCCCAUGCAGGCCCGCACUGACAGUGUGGAGCCCCAUGCGGGGCUCGAACUCACGACCCUUGAGAUCAUGACCUGAGCCAAAGGUUGGAUGCUUAACCGACUGAGCCCCCUAGGGACCCCCAAGCAAAAUAUUCUUACUCAGACAUUAUAUCAAAUGUUUACAAAUAAUAUCAAUGUGUUUAUUUAAACUCUAUGUUCUUGAAAGUAUUUAAAUAUGUUACAUUACAUAUAUGUCUCCCCAUAUAUGUAAUAAGUGUGUUCUAAUAUUGUGGAAAUAAUAGGAGGUGCCCAAAGAAUUUUAAAGUGUAUUUUUAAUAAUCCAGAGCAGCAGUGUCCAAAAGAAAUGUAAUGGGAGCCAUAAAUAAUUUUAAAUUUUCUAGGAGCCACAUUUUAAAAAGUAAAAAUAAUCAAGUGGAAUAAUACAUUAUCAUUCCAAAAGUGAACAAUAAAAAUAUUUAUGUAUAUCAUAAAUUCCUUUUUUCAUACUAACUAGUUGAAAUCCAGCGUGCAUUUUAUCCUUACAGUACAUCUCAAUUCAGACAAGCCUCAUUUCAAGUGUUUAAAACUACAUGUAGCUAGUGGCUACUAUAUUGGACCAUGUAAUUCUACAGUACAAUGCUAUAUAUAUCAAUAUAGUAGCAGUGCACUACCUAUUUUCCAAAUAUCUAUCAUGUGUCUGUCUAUAUACUAAAGUAUAUACAGUGGAAGUAUUAAAAGUGACAUUAAGAAAUCAUAUUUUCAGAAGGAAGUGUUAUCAGUGACAUUGGAAAUUUUAAGGUUUCCAAGUGGAUUUUCUUUAUAGAAACAUCCAAGCUGAAGGAGAACACACUAAUCUAUUAAAUAUUAAAGUAAUAAUACUUAUAAUUAUGGUUAUAAUAUAACUUAUGUUAAGAUUUAUAGUUUUGGCCCCUUACUAUACCAGUAUUUUUACAACAUCAUCAAACCCUUCUAUAAUAUAUGAAAUUCACACUGGAUGAACAUGUGGAAAUAUGGUAUCCAGAUACAACUAUCAUCUGUCAUCCCACCAACUGGUUUGGUUGAUAUAAUUAUGUCUUCGGAAAAGCUGCCAUUCUUUUCCUUUCUCAUUGGCUCAGGAAAAUAGUACUUGCUUAAGGCGAAGAUAUUUUACAGUUAAAAUGGGAAAUAUGUUUUUACUCAAAGAUUUAAUAUCAAAUGUUUACGUAAAAUAAUAAUGUGGGUUUUUUUACAGUGCGUUUUUUUAAAGUAUUUAAAUAUGCUACAAAAUUCAGAAGAAUUACUGGCUUCAUACUGAAGACAGUGUUUAUUCAAAUGCCAUAACACACACUGAUAAAUCUGUAAACACUAAAAUGAUUUAUGUAUUGAGAAGUACUGUCCAGUUCAGUAGUCAUUAGCCACAUGUGCCUAAUUUAGAUGUAGCUAAUGUGACUGAUAACCUGAUUUUUUAUUUUAAGUAACUUGAAUGCAAUUUUCCCUAGCUUUAUUGAGAUAUAGUUGACAAAUAACACUGUGUAACUUUAAGGUAUACAGUGUGAGGAUUUAAUACAUACACAUAUCACAAAAUUAUGAUCACAAUAUGGUUAGUUUAUGCCUUUAUCAC